UCUCCGAUUGAAUGGCUUAGUGAGGUCUUGGGAUUGGCUUCGGGGAGCCGGCAACGGCACCCCUGUCGCUGAGAACUUGAUCAAACUUGGUCAUUUAGAGGAAGUAAAAGUCGUAACAAGGUUUCCGUAGGUGAACCUGCGGAAGGAUCAUUAUCGAGUUUUGACUGGGUUGUAGCUGGCCUUCCGAGGCAUGUGCACGCCCUGCUCAUCCACUCUACACCUGUGCACUUACUGUGGGCUUCAGAUCGUGAAACGGGCCCUUUAUCGGGCUCGCGGAGCGUGUCUGUGCCUGCGUUUAUUACAAACUCUAUAAAGUAUCAGAAUGUGUAUUGCGAUGUAACGCAUCUAUAUACAACUUUCAGCAACGGAUCUCUUGGCUCUCGCAUCGAUGAAGAACGCAGCGAAAUGCGAUAAGUAAUGUGAAUUGCAGAAUUCAGUGAAUCAUCGAAUCUUUGAACGCACCUUGCGCUCCUUGGUAUUCCGAGGAGCAUGCCUGUUUGAGUGUCAUGAAAUCUUCAACCUACAAGCUUUUUGUGGUUUGUAGGCUUGGACUUGGAGGCUUGUCGGCCGUUCUUGGUCGGCUCCUCUUAAAUGCAUUAGCUUGGUUCCUUGCGGAUCGGCUCUCGGUGUGAUAAUGUCUACGCCGCGACCGUGAAGCGUCUGGCGAGCUUCUAACCGUCUCAGUUGGAGACAGCUUUAUGACCUCUGACCUCAAAUCAGGUAGGACUACCCCGCUGAACUUAAGCAUAUCAAUAGCGA
This 759-nucleotide ribosomal RNA is filed under the name Ganoderma multiplicatum. Its description in RNAcentral is "eukaryotic LSU rRNA". The stretch from base 354 to 507 matches the Rfam family "5.8S ribosomal RNA". The record is from RNAcentral. Lineage: Eukaryota; Fungi; Basidiomycota; Agaricomycetes; Polyporales; Polyporaceae.